GGGUUGUGAGGUUAAGCGACUAAGCGUACACGGUGGAUGCCUAGGCAGUCAGAGGCGAUGAAGGACGUGCUAAUCUGCGAAAAGCGUCGGUGAGCUGAUAUGAAGCGACAGAGCCGGCGAUGUCCGAAUGGGGAAACCCAGUGCAAU
This 147-nucleotide ribosomal RNA is filed under the name Photorhabdus laumondii subsp. laumondii. Its description in RNAcentral is "partial 23S ribosomal RNA". It matches the Rfam family "Bacterial large subunit ribosomal RNA", at positions 1 to 137 of the family's 2925-position model. Lineage: Bacteria; Pseudomonadati; Pseudomonadota; Gammaproteobacteria; Enterobacterales; Morganellaceae. The record is from RNAcentral.